Molecule: long non-coding RNA, 877 nt
Filed under: Urocitellus parryii (Arctic ground squirrel)
Lineage: Eukaryota; Metazoa; Chordata; Mammalia; Rodentia; Sciuridae
Description: lncRNA (ENSUPAG00010017532.1)
Source: RNAcentral
CCUCACCCACUUAUAGCCUCCCCCACCAUCAACCUCCURCAUCAGAGUGGUAUAUUUGUCAUCAUCAACCCACACUGGCAUAUCCUAUCACCCCAAGUCCAUGCUUCACAUUACUGUUCACACUUGGUUAUAUACAUUUCUUGAGAGUUGUGAUUUUUUACACCAGCAAAUGUCCCCGGGGAAAGCACAUCCACAUGAUUUGAGGCAAAACUAGCAAUGCUAAUCUAUUUUCAAAUGAAUGUGUUCUUUGGAGAAGUGUGUUUGAGAUUGGGUACACAUAUAAAAGAAAGAAGUUGAGUCAUGGAGGGAGGARAGAAAGAGAGAGAAAAGAAAGGACCAUCCACUCACCCAGGCAACUCCCACCCCCAGUCUCUGAAGUCUUUGAAGAUGAAGCCUUCUGGGAAGUUGGCAGUCCUGAGGGCCCAGGGCAAUGCUGAAAUGCCCUUCCAAACAAGGACCCAAACAGCUGAAGGGCUCCAGUUACCCAAGAGUUCCUUCAGCUGUUUAAAAAUUAUUGCAAAUAAUUGCCUUCAUCCUAGUGGUAACCGUUAUCCUGAAGUUGGUGAGUAUCUUCCUGGUCCAGUGUUUUAUAGUUUUCCAGUUAACUCUUAUCUUUUUUGAGAUACACAUAGCUCUAAUUCCUUUGUUUUCAUUGCUGCAUAGCAUUCCAUUAUUUAAGACAAUUCUAAUUUUUCUCUAUUGUGAAAGUUGUUGCUGCAUUGAACAUCCAAAUUUAUGUCUUUUUGUGCACUUGAAUAAGAAUCCAUCCAAAGGAUUUUCCUAGGAGUGGGAUUACUGAGUCCACUGGAAAACCUCUUAAAAAUAGAAUGAAAGAGAAAGAGAGAAAUGGACAAAGUCUUAGGUUUUGUCCCAGGAC